This 7736-nucleotide long non-coding RNA is filed under the name Zea mays. RNAcentral describes it as "long non-coding RNA (ZMAY_LNC004289)". The record is from RNAcentral. Lineage: Eukaryota; Viridiplantae; Streptophyta; Magnoliopsida; Poales; Poaceae.
UAAAUUAAAGGCAAGCCCCGGUUUUAUGCAUAACCGUUUAUAUAUGCUAUUUUACUACACUUAAUGAUUGUAGGCUUGUACUGUGCACUUAAGUGUAGGAGUUGUCUGAAAACCCUAGUUGCAUGAACUCAGGAUUCCUUUUGAGAUGGAUACUAGUAUGCUAGGUCGAGUAGCUGCUUUACUAAUUAGGGAUCUCGGUAGAAGUCGAGUGAUUUUUCUAGCACUCGCGCGAGGUCAGGAAUUGGUUGUAUCCACUUUGAUAACAGAAUGGUGAUGGUCUGUGGACACGAGUCCAUGGGGACGCGUGGUCUACGAGAUGAAAAUUGGAAUAAGGAUUAACGUGCGGAUACCUGUGUCAAGCGUUUGAACAUACUAAACACAUGCCGAGAAAUAUGGUAAAUCGGUAAGCCUAGUACCUGAGUGAACCUGCCCGCAGACUUUACCCCUCACGCGACCUGAGACGUGGUCUCCCAUUCCGGUUAUGGUGGGUACAAGUGCGGUCACUGCACGACGGCAGUCGGGGUCAGUGAGGCAUUGUACGCCAAGGCGGUGAGCCCUGAUCUGUUGCCAGGGAAUCGAUGGGGACGGUUGAUGUGUGUGGGGACGGAGUGCCCCUACAUGUCGUGUGUUUAGGUUUACCUUGCAAGGAUAAAAACUCGAUUCGAAUCGUCUGCUUCUCGCAGCUAAUGAGACUGCUUGAUCCAUUGUACUGCAUUGAGUAAUAAGUGGAAAUGAGUUGACGGGCAAAAGAUGUUGAUUUGUAAAAAUGUUUGAUACCAUGUAUGACUAGUUUGGUACACAUCUAGUAAAAAGGAGCAUACUAAAACUUGAAAAAGCUAAAACAUGAUUUUAGACUCAGCUAGUGCUUUUGGCAAACCAAACCCCUCAGCCAAACAGCUGCAUGUCUAGAGGUAGAGGAGUAGACUCCUCACACCGGGUAAGUCUAGCUGAGUAUUAGUAUACUCAGCCUUGCUUGUGGCACAAUUUUUGCAGGUACUCCUUAGGAUGAUUGGUUGAUGGUGUGACUUGGCCUCCAUCCCUGCCACCGGGAUAGACGGUCGAGUGGGUUAUUGCUUCCGCGAGAGAGGACCAGGAGGAGUAGCGUGGCCAGGCUUCGCCAUGUUACUCGGUUCUUCUCCGUUAGUUAUUCCGCUGCAAUAAAAUUUAUGGUUAUUAUUUCUGAAACUCCGAUAAUGUAAUCACUAUUGAUACUUAUUAAAUUGUGGUAUUAUGCUUUAUUGUAUUUCUCUGUGCCUCACCUUCGAGUGAGCUAGUGGUAUUCGAUCCUGGUUAAGUGGCUUUAUCGGACUAGAUCCGAGGGACUGACGGGUUAUUCCUAUUUAAGUGUGGUCUAGCCUCUAAGGCGGGACUUAGGCACUUAAGUUGGAAUAAUUCGGGUGGUUCCGCCACAGCUGGUAUCGGAGCGAAUACCAUCACAGAGAAGUCAAUAAGUCAUGAUUACCAACCUUUUCUAGAGUAAAACUUGCUAGAAAUCAAAGUUGGAUAGAUCGUCAGGACGAUCAGGAUAGACCUAGGACGUGAAGCCUUAGGACAUAGAUGGGUAGCUAGGUGGCUAUUUAUAAAGGCCAUAAAGGCUACUACUACUACUAAUAAGGAUGUUGUAGAAGCAUCCGAUAAAGUAGUUAGGUCUGAGAAGACGACUAGAAUGAGCAUGCAUCAUGAUUGUCGCAUCAUUGUCUCUUGUGCAUUAACAUGCUUCUCUCACCUUCAUUCCAAUAAUAAGAAAUUGUGAAUAAUGUGCUGUAUUGCUAGGAACUGCAAAAGAAGUCUUAUCCUGUGUGUCAACAUAGUCUUGACUAGGUUGUGUUAUGUGCUUCUCUUGUCUGGCAAAAAAAAAUGUUUUAAUUGUUCAACCCUUUUUACAAAAAAAUGUUGUCUGCUCUUCUCAUGAAAAGACCCCACUCCAAACAACCUUGAGUUUAGCAAGUGAAACCUUCUUAAAAAAAUCCUACUUGUGUUGGUAUUUUCUAGCCCCCUUCAGUGUUUUACCUUUGAAGUUACACCUGCACAGCUUAUAGACCCCCACAGCUUGACCGCUAGACCAACCCAAGUCUCCUUGUGUACUUGUGUCAAAAAAAUAAAUUUUAUUAUUGGUGUCUAGUUGCGCAAACCCUAUCAAGGCCAUGUUUCUUUCCAUAAAUCCUUGCCCCUAAAACUUCAUAGCAUUUCUGUUGAUCAUCCUAGCUGAUCUUGCUUGAUGACGUCUCUUUUUACCCAGAUCUAGUAAUCUUUUCCUUUGUGACUCAUGUUGUGGCCUUGUCAUCCAAAUCUCUAGAUCAUCCAAUGAAUCUGCCCUAUUAUCUGGUUAUCUCCUAUAACCCGUUCUCAAGCAUCGGAUGUUGAUCUGCCUAAAUCUCUCAUUUCUGAUCAUUCUCAUACUCCUUCUCCGAGGAUCAUGACGAUAUUUUAUCUAAGCAGUGUAUCCCUUUGGUUCGAUGGAUUAUGUUGUUGUCUUUAGUUCUCUCACGUCUCAGCAAGUUGCCAAUCUUGAUCUCAUGGUUGGUUCCUUCUCAUAUCAAAUCUCAUAAUAAUCUCUGGCCUGAUAAUCUCCGUGUUGAUCAUAAAAUAGUUCUCUGAGUCGAAGAAAAUUCUUAGGUGAUGCUCUUUUGACAGCAGUCUCUGCUUCAACUCUACCACAUUCUUAUUUUCUGAGCCAUACUCUCAUGGGCUCCAUCUAUCUGUGCUAUGUAAAUUUCUUAUUGGUUGCGUUUGGUAAUGACGUCAUGACUAACGACUGAUGGUGCCGCGACGAAACCGAGAGCCUACUAUGGUGCACACAUGGUUGAGCUGCUCGGCACACGCUGGUAUUGCGGUUAAUAGUCGUGAUCCAUUACGAGACUAUACUGAUGUGCUACCUUUUGUGAACAUUCUCUCAGAAUGAUCGCUGCAUUUUGUCUCAACAUGUCGCGAUAUUCUAUCCAAAUCUAUCUUCCGUAUCUUGUCAGAUCCCAUCUCAUGAAUUUGCAUCUAUCUUCAGCCCGGGAGUUACAUGCUUCUCCGCCCUUAAAGAUACUCAUUCGAAUCUCGGGACGAGAUUCUGUUUAAGGGGGGAAGGCUGUGACACCCCAGGUGUCAAUUUCGCAUUAUGUCGGAAGAAUUAUCCUAAUCUCGGAUGCUCAGUGAAAAUUUCUAUUUCUCGAUCGUGUCUAUCUUUGUCUAUCAGGCUUUCUCAUGGAAGUUCAUCGAAUUCAGAGUUAAUCGAUCGCGAGAAACAACCAAGUUUGGAGCGUGUUAAAACUUUUAAUUCUUGGCAUGGAUGCAAAACUCGAUACUCAAUCUCGAUUUAUAAAUCUCGUCUAAAGCUCAUUUAAUCAAACGCUCGACAGCUGCUAGUCGAGCUGUGUCCGACUCCGAUUUCUCGAUGUUCGAUCUAUGUCCAAAAAUUAAUCCGACUCCGUACUCUCAAACGGAAUGCUCAAUAUGUCGUCCUCUGAUUAAUUCUCACUCGACUCAGCCAAAUAUCUCAUGUCCGAACCGAAUUCAAAAUCUCGUAUCGACAACGAUUUUAAAAUGCCACGAUUCACCUUUUCCGACUAAAAAUCCGAAAGCCGAUCAAAUCUCAGGACGGUUUAUUUUCGAUUUACGCGUAGGGAAUUAUCUUCAAGCGAAAUCUAAUUAGACUCUCGGCCGAAUUAAUUGCUCAAUCGUCCGUUCGCCGAAAUCAAUUUCGCUCUGUUCUGUGUACAGACAAAUUCCGCGGGAACAUUUAUUCCGGAAAAAUAAUUUAGCGCGACCCGAGUACGUGUUUUGGGCCAAGCCCAUUCCAGCCCGGCCCAUUUGGCCCACUAAGGAAAACCCUAACCCUAGUGUCCCUCUAUAAAUAGCAGUCCUCUCCUAGCAAGUGGAGGCAUUUUUGCGCUCCCACCCCUCAUUUUCUCCCAGCCGCCACAACAAUUCUUCCUCCCUGUUCACAACAGCAGCACGCUAGCGCAGGGAGCUCGGCUCUUUCUCACCAUGGCGCUCGGCACCCAUCCGGCAGGGCGCCCUUCUUCCCCAUGGAAACCGGCUCCCUCUCCAUGCUCCCUCCCUAGCCGAGCACCUCCAGCAGCCAUGGCCGAGCUUCCUUUCCCCCUGGUCGGCCUCCUCUGCACAGCAGCUCCUUCUCUCCGUUUCCUGUACGUGCGCAGGGGCAAAACUCCAUGGCACCGGCGAAGCUCCAGCUCCAAGCUCCCUGCACCCUCCUCCCCACGUGCAGCACCUCGCUCCCUGUCGGCAGCACGCACACUCAACUCUGGCUUCUCCCCCUGCUUCACCAUGCCGUGCGUCCUGCUCCAUACGUGAUGGUUGGAUGAAGAUGGCCAACAAGUGACUAUGUCAAGUGGGCCCUAGUAGCUAGGGUGAGUGUGCACAAAUUACAGCUUUUUGUGUUGUGUUCUAAAAUUCAUAUCUCGAGUUUUAGAGGUCCUAAAAUUGUGAAAUUUAUUUUGUUGGCUACCUUAUGAAAUGCUCUAACUAUUGGAUCUAUAGGUUGGCAUGUUUUAGUGGAAAAGUUGUUCUGUAGAAAUUCGUAUUUAAAAACUGGUUUAGAAAACAAAUGAACUUGCUUCUGUCCAUAGUUUUAAUUAUAAAAAUCCAAAAAUGAUGAAACUUGUUUUGUUGGUUAGAUGUUGUCAUACUCUAGCUAAGAAAAAUAUAAAACACAUAUGGUGUUCACUGUUUUCUUGGUGUGUUAAUUAAAACAUGUUAAAUAGGAAAAAGAUGAUUGUUUUGAUUGUUAUUUUUGGAUCUGUAGCUCUAGUGCUCCAAAUAGAUUGAAAUUUUUACAGUAGACUCUUGGUGUGAUGUUUGGUGACUGGUAAAAAUUUCAGGAAUUGUUGUGCAUGUAUGAUUAAGUUAGUGGUUUAACUUAUUUAAUGCACCUUAACUAGUUUUAAAUGAUUUACAAAUAAUGUAUAUAUGCAAAAAUGUAAAAUGGUGUUCCCAUGUCCUUGUGUGAUAUUAUAGUAGCCUAAGAAAACUUAAUAUGGUCAUGCAUCCACAGAAAAUAAUUAGUUUUAGAUUUAACUUGCUCUCACAUGCUUUAUUGCAUUAACAAUUUGUUAUUUUUGUAGUAAAUGCAAUAUAAAAUCUGAGCAUGUGAAAUUUAUACAUUAUUUAUAAUGGGUCAUUACCUAUGCCUCAUAAAAAUUACAGCCCCAAAUUAGAUAGUUUCAUUUGGUGCUAAAAUAACACCUAUUUUAUAAUUAUAAGAACAAUUAGUGAAAAAUUAGAAGUAAACAAGGGCAUGCAUGUUUCUUGAAAUACUUAAGUGAAUUGAUAUAAAUUGAAACUUGAUAACUAAGUCAUAAUGAUUUAAACUUGAGAAAUUGGUGGUAGUGUCUCUCCAUGAUUUUAAUUGAUGAUUGAGUUGAGUGCUAUUGUGCUAGCAAACUGAAAUUCCUGCACGUACAGUUUUUUGUUGUGCGGUUAAUCUAGUAAAGUAAAGUGUGUUUUAUGUACAUAUGUUCUAUAUAAAAGUUGUAAUUAACUUGUAUAUCUAGCUCUUCUAAAAAUUUAAUGAGCUAAGGAUUAAUGGUUUAGAAGUUAUACUUUUCACAAUUUCAGUACCUGAAUCUGUCCAAUUUCUGAACAGAUUUCAGAAAUUGUAAUGGUUGCUUAAGUUAAUGUUGAAAUAAGUUAUUGGUGGUCAUAAGAAAGUUAUAGAUAACUCUAUUAUCUAACUUGUGUUAAAAUUUGACAGCCAUAGGUCUGACAGUUUAGGAGUUAUGCUUUUUACAAAGUCAGUAACUGAAUCUGUCCACUUUCUGUACAGAUUUCAGAAACUGCAUUGUUUGCUUAAGUUAAUGUUACAAUCUGUUCAUGGUCAUUAUAAGAAAGUUGUAGAUGCUUUUCUGAUCUUGCUUGUGUUAAAAUUUCAUAACCACAGGCCCGAUAAUUUAAGAGUUAUGAAUUCUACAAACUGCUUGCUAUGUUCUGUCCACCGUCAGAACAGAUUUCGAAAACUGUGUUGUUUGAUUUAGUUAAACCUGGAAUCAAUUCUUGGUGAUUAUAAAAGUUAUGUAGUGCUUUUGCUGAGCUUUCCAAAAAGUCUUGGAUCACUCUUUUUGGUGGUCUGAAGAUUAAGUUACAUGUGUUUGAAGUGUGAAGACUGAAUCUGUCCAGUUUUGGACAGCACAGCCUUCAUAGUAUAUUUUAACCUUGAUACAUGCUAAACCAGCCAAGGAUGUUUAUAAAUAAUUUGUAGAACAUUUAAUUACCUUUCCAGAAAGUCUAGGAUCACCUUGUUUGGAUGUCUGGAUCUUCAGUUGUGAAUUUUUGAAGUUGCAAGCCUGAAUCUGUCCAAAUCUGGACAGAGCUGCUGUGUUUGCACAAUUCGACCUUGCUAAGUGUUGAAUCAUGUUGUGAUGAAAAUAUCAAAAUUGUAGAGCACUUUCUAAACUUUCCAGAAAGUCAUAGUUUACUAUUUUUGGCUUAAUAUUUGAAAAGUUAUGAUUAAAACAAGUAACUACGGUGCUGCUGUCCUAAAUGUGUUAGAAGUGAUUGAUUGCUCUACUCUAUUGUGUUUGACUUGAGUGAUUGCUUGCUUGUUUUGGUUUUAAGUGAAUAUGAGUAACAAUGAUAGUAACUAAUAUAAUCAGGUUAUAUAUAAGUAAAUAGUACACAUCUCACUAAGUUAGUGAACUAAAUUGGUUAAGGUCUAAUACGUAGCUUAGCUUAAUCAACAGUUAGCAAGUGCAGUAAUAUAUUAGGAAAACAAAAUGAAUAAUGUCCUGUCCUUGGCUUUCUGCUAAUACUACUAAGUAACCAACGUCAUUAAAGUAGUAUAACAUGUAAUGACGAUUAAACUAUCUCCUCAUGUGUGUUCUCUUUGGUGUGUGCUUGCAUGUGAAUAUUGUGAAUGAUUGUAAAACCCCGAUUAAAUGAAUAUCCCUUUCUGUCUAAGUCUGUCCAAAUAUAUAAGUCAUAGAAAACUUAUGUGUACUUAACUAGUAUAAUAAUAAAAAAACUAAUGGAAAAUUAGAGCGAAUGCGAUAAAUGCUUGCACGUGUGAUGUCGUGUUGCGUUGGUUAACUCUAGAAGGUAAUUGUCGUCUUUGUAAUGGUAUUGAUUACGUAUGCCCGAUGACGUGUAGAUAACUAAUGCUAGUGUGUGGUUGUUUACGGUGUCUUACGAUUUAAUGUUUAGUUCGCUAUCGUCUAUUUUGGGAUUGUCUUGUGAUAUAUUUCAUUAUAUUCAUACAUGUGCAUCCUGCAUCUCAUAUAGGACCGAGAGAUGAUGAUCGAGCAACUGAUGUGGUGCCAACCACAAGACACAGUUGGUGGACGACCUGAGGAAUGGACUUAACUAGUGGAUGCUCGCCAAGCGAGUGCCACCCAGCAAACACUAUCCAAGUGUUAAAUUAAAGGCAAGCCCCGGUUUUAUGCAUAACCGUUUAUAUAUGCUAUUUUACUACACUUAAUGAUUGUAGGCUUGUACUGUGCACUUAAGUGUAGGAGUUGUCUGAAAACCCUAGUUGCAUGAACUCAGGAUUCCUUUUGAGAUGGAUACUAGUAUGCUAGGUCGAGUAGCUGCUUUACUAAUUAGGGAUCUCGGUAGAAGUCGAGUGAUUUUUCUAGCACUCGCGCGAGGUCAGGAAUUGGUUGUAUCCACUUUGAUAACAGAAUGGUGAUGGUCUGUGGACACGAGUCCAUGGGGACGCGUGGUCUACGAGAUGAAAAUUGGAAUAAGGAUUAACGUGCGGAUACCUGUGUCAAGCGUUUGAACGUACUAAACAC